This is a long non-coding RNA of Camponotus floridanus (Florida carpenter ant), 955 nucleotides long. RefSeq lists it as uncharacterized. The record is from RefSeq and is a predicted model, not a curated record. The transcript has 3 exons. NCBI's taxonomy places the organism in Eukaryota, Metazoa, Arthropoda, Insecta, Hymenoptera, Formicidae.
AUCUGGAAAAAGAAUACAUCAAUGAUGAAAAGAGAUCAGUACGUCAGAUUUACCUUCAAGAGAGGAAAGCACGAAAUGUUGCCCCACGAGAAUUUCCUUGAGAUAAUAAAUAAGAUAAUAGACAACAUUAUGUUUGCGUGAUUUUAAAAUAAUGCCGUGUUUAUUUUCAUGGUGGUAACACACGCGCCAAGUUAGUGAAAUUUCACCGGGUAAGUAGGUGAUGGAAUGUAAAAAACUACUUUAUGCUAAACGAACAUUCGUACAUGCAAUCUGCUAUACACGUGUCGUUUGUAUUUUCGUGCGCGUGCCGAUAUAGCUCCCUCGCUAAAUGCACUUUUCUUAAACUUGGCUCUUUUCUUCAAAAUUUUGAAUUGACCUCUUUCCAAAGUCAGAGCCAAGAAUAUUAUUUUCGUUUAUUCAUGAUUAUAAUAUGAUUCGUUUUUGCACUUGUAACUUAGUUUUCGAACGAGUUUUAUACUUUUUCAAUCUCUCCAAGAUUGGAGCCGUUUUAAUGUGUCUCGUGUGCCACCCACAGCGGUUAAAAAAAAGUACGUGAGCGUGAGCACGUCAGAUGCGGUGGAUGCGUUAUUUUGUCUUGUUGCAUCAGCCGUUUUGACUCGGAUUGGUUUGCCUUAGCCGCCUCUCGAGAUGGAGAGGGAAAACGGACCGGGACGAAAGACACGUGCGAGAAAGGCACGCUUCUCGAUGUGGAUGCUUUAAUUUUUUGUCGAGACUCUCACGGUUUAACGCGCAGUUUUAUUCACAAAAUUCAUACUCGCGAUGGAUCCCUCCUUCUCUUUCUCUCUCUGAAUUUAAGUGGAAUGUCAAAGUCAUGCGUGACUUACCGUGCGUGUAACGCUGCGAUUUUCCGAAUAACUCUGUUCGAGGGAGAUUCGAAAAAAAGGAAAAAGAAGACAAGCACCCGCAGUUUAUCACCGACGAAUCGAGGAGGCCG